AACGAACGCUGGCGGCAGGCUUAACACAUGCAAGUCGAACGCCCCGCCAGGGGAGUGGCCGACGGGUGAGUAACGCGUGGGAACAUACCCUUUUCUACGGAAUAGCUCCGGGAAACUGGAAUUAAUACCGUAUACGCCCUACGGGGGAAAGAUUUAUCGGGGAAGGAUUGGCCCGCGUUGGAUUAGCUAGUUGGUGGGGUAAAGGCCUACCAAGGCGACGAUCCAUAGCUGGUCUGAGAGGAUGAUCAGCCACAUUGGGACUGAGACACGGCCCAAACUCCUACGGGAGGCAGCAGUGGGGAAUAUUGGACAAUGGGCGCAAGCCUGAUCCAGCCAUGCCGCGUGAGUGAUGAAGGCCUUAGGGUUGUAAAGCUCUUUCACCGAUGAAGAUAAUGACGGUAGUCGGAGAAGAAGCCCCGGCUAACUUCGUG
This 431-nucleotide ribosomal RNA is filed under the name uncultured bacterium. RNAcentral describes it as "partial 16S ribosomal RNA". It matches the Rfam family "Bacterial small subunit ribosomal RNA", at positions 29 to 507 of the family's 1533-position model. The record is from RNAcentral.